RNAcentral lists this ribosomal RNA (661 nucleotides) under uncultured bacterium. RNAcentral's name for it is "bacterial SSU rRNA". It matches the Rfam family "Bacterial small subunit ribosomal RNA", at positions 45 to 754 of the family's 1533-position model. The record is from RNAcentral.
GGCCUAACACAUGCAAGUCGAACGCCCCUUCGGGGGAGUGGCAGACGGGUGAGUAACACGUGGGAACCUACCCAGGAGUACGGAAUAACUCAGGGGAAACUUGAGCUAAUACCGUAUACGUCCUUCGGGAGAAAGUUUUAACGCUCUUGGAUGGGCCCGCGUCGCAUUAGCUAGUUGGUGGGGUAAUGGCCUACCAAGGCUUCGAUGCGUAGCUGGUCUGAGAGGAUGAUCAGCCACACUGGGACUGAGACACGGCCCAGACUCCUACGGGAGGCAGCAGUGGGGAAUCUUGGACAAUGGGCGCAAGCCUGAUCCAGCCAUGCCGCGUGAGUGAUGAAGGCCCUAGGGUUGUAAAGCUCUUUCACCGGUGAAGAUAAUGACGGUAGCCGGAGAAGAAGCCCCGGCUAACUCCGUGCCAGCAGCCGCGGUAAUACGGAGGGGGCUAGCGUUGUUCGGAAUUACUGGGCGUAAAGCGCACGUAGGCGGGUAUCCAAGUUGGGGGUGAAAUCCCGGGCUCAACCCCGGAACUGCCUCCAAAACUGGGUACCUAGAGUCCGAGAGAGGUGAGUGGAAUUCCCAGUGUAGAGGUGAAAUUCGUAGAUAUUGGGAAGAACACCAGUGGCGAAGGCGGCUCACUGGCUCGGUACUGACGCUGAGGUGC